CGAGGCGCUGGCGUGGCGAGCGCGCCGCGGCGUCGUAGAUGCCGGGAACACGCAGGAUCGCCACCUGUGCCCCGCC
This 76-nucleotide transfer RNA is filed under the name mine drainage metagenome. RNAcentral describes it as "tRNA-Tyr". The record is from RNAcentral.